RNAcentral lists this ribosomal RNA (253 nucleotides) under uncultured bacterium. Its description in RNAcentral is "partial 16S ribosomal RNA". It matches the Rfam family "Bacterial small subunit ribosomal RNA", at positions 524 to 776 of the family's 1533-position model. The record is from RNAcentral.
UACGUAGGGUGCAAGCGUUGUCCGGAAUUAUUGGGCGUAAAGAGCUCGUAGGCGGUCUGUCGCGUCGGAUGUGAAAACCCAGGGCUCAACCCUGGGCCUGCAUUCGAUACGGGCAGACUAGAGUUCGGUAGGGGAGACUGGAAUUCCUGGUGUAGCGGUGAAAUGCGCAGAUAUCUGGAGGAACACCGGUGGCGAAGGCGGCGUCCUGGACCAACACUGACACUGAGGAGCGAAAGCCAGGGGAGCAAACGGG